GUAGGGAAUAUUGGGCAAUGGAUGCAAGUCUGACCCAGCCAUCCCGCGUGCCGGAAGAAGGCCUUCGGGUUGUAAACUUCUUUUAUGAGGGACGAAGGAAGUGACUGUACCUCAUGAAUAAGCCACGGCUAACUACGUGCCAGCAGCCGCGGUAAUACGUAGGUGGCAAGCGUUGUCCGGAUUUACUGGGUGUAAAGGGCGCGUAGGCGGACUGGCAAGUCAGAUGUGAAAUCCAUGAGCUCAACUCAUGAACGGCAUUUGAAUGUGUUAGUCUUGAGUAGCGGAGAGGCAAGCGGAAUUCCUAGUGGAGCGGUGAAAUGCGUAGAUAUUAGGAGGAACACCAGUGGCGAAGGCAGCUUACUAAGCUACAACUGACACUGAAGCACGAAAGCGUGGGGAUCAAACAGGAUUAGAAACCCGAGUAGUCC
Molecule: ribosomal RNA, 428 nt
Filed under: uncultured bacterium
Lineage: Bacteria
Description: partial 16S ribosomal RNA
Rfam family: Bacterial small subunit ribosomal RNA
Source: RNAcentral